Molecule: long non-coding RNA, 1066 nt
Organism: Papaver somniferum (opium poppy)
Lineage: Eukaryota; Viridiplantae; Streptophyta; Magnoliopsida; Ranunculales; Papaveraceae
Exons: 5
Source: RefSeq, a predicted model, not a curated record
UUCAAUCAAAGCUUUACUGCCAUUAAAUAGAAAUCAUUAGUGAAGAGUAGCAGAAAUCAGUGAAGAUGUUUUGGUUAGAUGCUAUUCUUCCAUUAGGAAUUAUCAGUAAUUCUCAGUAUCAGUUCUUCUUAAAUCUUCACGAAUAAUUUGGGGUUUGGUUGUUUUCAAAUUUGGGUUUGAUGUUGAAGUUGUUUCUUACAAGGAUAGGUCAACAAAAAUCCCACUUGAUGCAAAGUUGGUAGCAAGCGGCACUACACGUUUAGGAUGACAAAGAUGUUUGUAGUUGGUAGCAAGCGGGCAUUACACGUUUAAGAUGACAAAGAUAAUGAUAAUAGGUAAGCUGAAAGUGAGACUUUAUUGUUGUUUGCUAUUUUAGUUGUGUAGAGUGUACAAUGUGCAGGCAAGAAAGUUUGUGUGCAAUGCUGAGAAAGUUGAAACCAAAGAAAGAAGCCACUGCAACUAAACGAAUAACCAUUGCCGAGUGUCAUGACUGCGUGUUCUAUGUAGGAGUAAAUCAGCGGCCACUAAUUUGUGGGAAUGAUCUUAAGUUCCAGGAAGUGUUUAUUUCAUUUGAUGAAUGAACUCCCAACAAUAUUUGAAGUUGUUAGUGGAGCUGUAAAGAAGCAACAAGUUAAGGAGAAAUCUUCAGUUUCAAAUCACAGCAACAACAAAUCCAAGCCCAUUUCACAAAAGUGAUUAGCCAACCCACCAGCCAAGUCUUACUCCAAGCCAAACCCUCCUCCAAUAGAAGAUGAAGAGCAAGAGUCUGACAAAGAAGAGGAUGAGCAUGGGGUUACUUUGUGUGGUGCAUGUGAUGAGAACGAUGCAUCAGAUCUAAAAGUUCGUGUCUUGAGCAGAUUAGAAUCACAUCCUCCAAGUGACGCUAAGUACUUGCAUGGCAUACUCAAGUCUAAAGGUUCGUGUCUCUUGUGUCUUGUCUGAUAUCCUAUAUCGGUUAUUAGUUUCUAGACGCAAAAAUGAAAUUAGUGUUUCUUCUCUCAGAUUCAGUUUCUUAGUACAGGGAACCAUUUUGCAAGAUUUCCUUGAUGUAAUGUUAAGUUAAUAG